UUNCACUCUGCCAGCACACCUCAGUUUUC
This 29-nucleotide non-coding RNA is filed under the name Mus musculus (house mouse). Lineage: Eukaryota; Metazoa; Chordata; Mammalia; Rodentia; Muridae. The record is from RNAcentral.